Bufo bufo (common toad) is the source of this 158-nucleotide long non-coding RNA. RefSeq lists it as uncharacterized. The record is from RefSeq and is a predicted model, not a curated record. NCBI's taxonomy places the organism in Eukaryota, Metazoa, Chordata, Amphibia, Anura, Bufonidae. The transcript has 4 exons.
ACGGCAGAAAGCCUAGUGAGUGACCAGUACCCAUCACGAGCUCCUGUCAUAGCAGAAUAGUCAACCGCAAACCUACAGCUCAUACCCCAAAGGACACAACAACAAAAUUAAAAAAAACAAAUAGACCUCCUCUGCCUAGAAUAAAUUUCUACACCAGC